GUCAGUGUAGCUCAGUGGCAGAUUGUUUGCCUAGAGUGUAUAAGGCCCUGGGUCCAAUUCCCAGCACAGCUA
Molecule: transfer RNA, 72 nt
Filed under: Heterocephalus glaber (naked mole-rat)
Lineage: Eukaryota; Metazoa; Chordata; Mammalia; Rodentia; Bathyergidae
Rfam family: tRNA
About the family: Transfer RNA (tRNA) molecules are approximately 80 nucleotides in length. Their secondary structure includes four short double-helical elements and three loops (D, anti-codon, and T loops). Further hydrogen bonds mediate the characteristic L-shaped molecular structure. tRNAs have two regions of fundamental functional importance: the anti-codon, which is responsible for specific mRNA codon recognition, and the 3' end, to which the tRNAs corresponding amino acid is attached (by aminoacyl-tRNA synthetases). tRNAs cope with the degeneracy of the genetic code in two manners: having more than one tRNA (with a specific anti-codon) for a particular amino acid; and 'wobble' base-pairing, i.e. permitting non-standard base-pairing at the 3rd anti-codon position.
Source: Rfam by way of RNAcentral